Non-coding RNA from Heterocephalus glaber (naked mole-rat), 363 nucleotides. NCBI's taxonomy places the organism in Eukaryota, Metazoa, Chordata, Mammalia, Rodentia, Bathyergidae. The record is from Rfam.
GGAUGUGAGUGUGAUCUGCCUGUGACAUCUGUCAUGCCACCGAUUGCCAGGUUUGAUUGAGCCGAUCUGGCUGGCUCCAGGGGUGUCACCUUCCUCCUUCACCAUUCCAUGUGCACCCCUCUCACAGCUGUGUGCUUGGUCAAAGAAGUCCUUCCCCCAAAGGGAGAGCUGUUUCCUCUGUCUAGAGCAUAUUGUAUGAGUAGCUGUGCUCUCCUGCUAGAAACUUCAAAUAAGCUCUCAAAAGACCCAGAUUCCUCCCCCCAAAUAAAAGGCCCAAUAAAAAAAUGGUAACUAAAAUGAACAGAUAUUUCUCACAAGAAGAAGUACAAAUGGCCAAUAAAUACAUGAAAAAAUGUUUAACAU